UGAACCAACACAGCUGAUUUAAAUGGCUAAAUUAGCUCCUCAACAUGUCCUGAAGUUCUCCAGAGGCCUGGUAACGAACUAAUCAUGAGAUUCAGGUGUGUUGACCCAAGGUGAGAUCUAAAACCUGCAGGGACACUGGCCCUCGUGGACUCAGAUUGCCUGAACAUUGCACUCACUCUGACCUCAGUUUAAAAGGCCCUCAGCAGUCAAUGGUUUGGUCAAGAAUGUGUUGAGACUGACCAACAGGUCUUUAAAAGAGCUUCAGCUCUCCCUGCAAAGACCUGAUAGAAACUCUUAAAACAUUACACUGAUGUCUCUUUCCAUUGAUGAUUUUUUGUGAUUUUGUUGUUCUAUGUAAAGAACAAAGUAUUUAAAAAGAACAUUUUAAUAAUUCACAUCUGGGGUCUCAUCUUUUUGUGUUACCUUUUUUUUUUUUUUUUUUUUUUUGGAGCAGUCUAUAUUCACAUUAGUUUUGGGAGGGUUGUUUUCUUAAAGCCUACUUUUUUUUUUUGGUCAAUUUCUUUGUUUCUCUCCACAGCACCUCACAAGUAAGGCACACACCCUCACCAAGAGCUGCUCUACAGUCACAGACUCUGGUCAGGAGAAGAGAUUUUCCAGUGCCUACUCUCCUGGGUUCAGUGGGUGAAGUGGAACAGUCUGUGAAGCUGCAAAAAUGGCAGACUGGAAGACUCUGAUGGCUUUCAUCAAUCUGAAUCUCUCAGAAUCUCAACAGUUAUGUACUCAGCAUUGUUGCCCAGUGAGCAAUGUUCAAGUGAAAUCUGGUGGCAAAUUGUAGGAAUGCAGCCAAAAUGCCUGUGACUAGUGCCAAAGCAUAACAGUAAAUAUUCUGACCCAUGUGGUCAGUUAAAGAGGGUGGGGGAGUAAAGAAAGGCCACUUCCUCCCUUGUGUUGGUGUAGCUGAAGUUGUAGAAGUUAAAUAUUGCACAGUGCUGUCAAUAUUUUCUCCUCUUGCCUUUGGUGCAGUUUAUCCAUCUAGAUUAUUUUGGUAUGGACAACCCACUUUUGUAGUUUUCUCUGAGCUCUGUGUCUCUGAAAAGUAAUGUUUCCAUCCUAAAGAAAUCCAGACUGUGUUACAGAUCUACUGACCUUGUAGGAAUUCUUUUCUUUCCUCUGAACUACAUCUGCUAACCAUAUCAGUGUCCUGGAGGAAGCACGUAAAGGCUUUGAACAAGAAGCUUGACUUCAUGACAGGCUUCAUGCUUCUUUGUAGUUGGCAGGUGUAGACACUGCACCAGAUUUCUGAGUUUCAACAAAUUCAUAUACCAGAUGUUUGGCUGGUCGAUGCCACCAGGCAACGGACAUUAUGAAUUCAACCCUGUUGUUUUAAACACUGGUAUGAAUGUAAACAACUCCAGAGUUGACAACACAAGUUUUGAAGGAGCAAAUUAGAGCCUUGACAGCAGCUAAUGUUCCUUUAAUUACAAAUAUUUUAAUGUAUAUCAGCUUUUUUUGUAUUAAGUUUUAAUCUUCUUGUCUUCAUGUAGCUCAACAUAUCAGUCUCCAAUUGGGGUGAACUUUUGGCCCUUUAUUUUUAACCGUUUGAUUAGAAAUAUUUGAAUUCAGUCUACUCUGGCUAUUUUAAAUACAGUUUGUUCGAUCCAAAAUACCUACUGGGAGACAGAACAUCAUCGAAGUUUUCUAUAUAAUAAGAGAUGAAUUAAUGAAAAUGUGUUUUAUUUCAGGUUGUAGCUUCCAGUAUUUGUAAAAAAUAAUAUACAUAAAGAAUAUUAUCUGCCUUGUGUAUGAGAAACUAUAAAUAAAAUAUUUGUUUCACCUAUUCAAAACUGAAUUUUCUACAUGUCUCCAAACCUUCUUCAGAGAUUGAACAUUAGGGAUGGGUAUCAAAAACUGGUUCUUGUUGAGAACCGGUUCCCACUGUUUCAAUUGUUUGCCAUUUUUGCAAACGAUUUCCUUAAUGAUUCCAGUCGCCCCGAAUGACGUCACC
Molecule: long non-coding RNA, 1966 nt
Organism: Astatotilapia calliptera (eastern happy)
Lineage: Eukaryota; Metazoa; Chordata; Actinopteri; Cichliformes; Cichlidae
Source: Ensembl